AUUGAACGCUGGCGGCAGGCCUAACACAUGCAAGUCGAACGGUAGCACAGAGAGCUUGCUCUCGGGUGACGAGUGGCGGACGGGUGAGUAAUGUCUGGGAAACUGCCUGAUGGAGGGGGAUAACUACUGGAAACGGUAGCUAAUACCGCAUAACGUCGCAAGACCAAAGAGGGGGACCUUCGGGCCUCUUGCCAUCAGAUGUGCCCAGAUGGGAUUAGCUAGUAGGUGGGGUAACGGCUCCCCUAGGCGACGAUCCCUGGCUGGUCUGAGAGGAUGACCAGCCACACUGGAACUGAGACACGGUCCAGACUCCUACGGGAGGCAGCAGUGGGGAAUAUUGCACAAUGGGCGCAAGCCUGAUGCAGCCAUGCCGCGUGUAUGAAGAAGGCCUUCGGGUUGUAAAGUACUUUCAGCGGGGAGGAAGGUGUUGUGGUUAAUAACCACAGCAAUUGACGUACC
Molecule: ribosomal RNA, 459 nt
Filed under: uncultured bacterium
Lineage: Bacteria
Description: bacterial SSU rRNA
Rfam family: Bacterial small subunit ribosomal RNA
Source: RNAcentral